This 120-nucleotide ribosomal RNA is filed under the name Streptomyces exfoliatus. Its description in RNAcentral is "partial 16S rRNA". It matches the Rfam family "Bacterial small subunit ribosomal RNA", at positions 162 to 283 of the family's 1533-position model. The record is from RNAcentral. Lineage: Bacteria; Bacillati; Actinomycetota; Actinomycetes; Kitasatosporales; Streptomycetaceae.
UCUAAUACCGGAUAACACCGGCUUCCGCAUGGGAGCUGGUUAAAAGCUCCGGCGGUGAAGGAUGAGCCCGCGGCCUAUCAGCUUGUUGGUGGGGUAAUGGCCUACCAAGGCGACGACGGG